RNAcentral lists this transfer RNA (65 nucleotides) under Euplotes focardii. It matches the Rfam family "tRNA", at positions 6 to 65 of the family's 71-position model. From Rfam's summary of the family: Transfer RNA (tRNA) molecules are approximately 80 nucleotides in length. Their secondary structure includes four short double-helical elements and three loops (D, anti-codon, and T loops). The record is from RNAcentral. Lineage: Eukaryota; Ciliophora; Spirotrichea; Euplotida; Euplotidae.
GCUUAGCUUAGCGGUAGAGCAGUUGCUUCGUAAGUAAAAGGUCGUGGGUUCAAUCCCCACAGUUG